GAACAAGUGUGAUUGAGUGGUUUGAAUAUUGGACUAGAACUCCAAAACUCAGGGUUCAAAUUCCUUCUCGUCCA
Phrynosoma platyrhinos (Desert horned lizard) is the source of this 74-nucleotide non-coding RNA. The record is from the annotation of a GenBank genome assembly. NCBI's taxonomy places the organism in Eukaryota, Metazoa, Chordata, Lepidosauria, Squamata, Phrynosomatidae.